CUGGAACACAUCUCCAAAGUUCUGCCGGGCCAGCUCAGCUUCCCCUCAGAAGAAGUGACGCCACCUGCCAGAUGAAGGAGCCUUUUGAGAGGCAGCUGGCAUCGUGAUUGGACUGUACUUUGGUCUGUUCCAAUCCAGCUUCAGCUCCAGAGACGGCAGGCGGGACGAGUCAACGGAGGCCAGACCAAAGAACUACAGACUCUUCACAACCUGCUCAAACACUUGGUACAGGACCUCACCACACGGGUCAAGAAGACUAAAGAACUACAGACUCUUCACAACCUGCUCAAACUCUUGGUACAGGACCUCACCACACGGGUCAAGAAGGUUUCUGUCUCAUUUCUACUCUGAAGCUCACCUUCUCCUGCUCAAACUGCUGACAAAUGUUUC
This is a long non-coding RNA of Amphiprion ocellaris (clown anemonefish), 390 nucleotides long. Lineage: Eukaryota; Metazoa; Chordata; Actinopteri; Pomacentridae. The record is from Ensembl.